RNAcentral lists this small RNA (85 nucleotides) under Salix viminalis (osier). Lineage: Eukaryota; Viridiplantae; Streptophyta; Magnoliopsida; Malpighiales; Salicaceae. The record is from RNAcentral.
UGCAAGGAAUUAAGAAAAUGAUAGAUAGCACAUAUGGCAACCACUGGGUUAAUUAUGAACUUAAUCUUUUCUUUUCUUUUAUGCA